Molecule: non-coding RNA, 26 nt
Filed under: Mus musculus (house mouse)
Lineage: Eukaryota; Metazoa; Chordata; Mammalia; Rodentia; Muridae
Source: RNAcentral
UAUGAUUGAACGUGCUUUUGGGUCUC